GACGAACGCUGGCGGCGUGCUUAACACAUGCAAGUCGAACGGAAAGGCCCUGCUUUUGUGGGGUGCUCGAGUGGCGAACGGGUGAGUAACACGUGAGUAACCUGCCCUUGACUUUGGGAUAACUUCAGGAAACUGGGGCUAAUACCGGAUAGGAGCUCCUGCUGCAUGGUGGGGGUUGGAAGGUUUCGGCGGUUGGGGAUGGACUCGCGGCUUAUCAGCUUGUUGGUGGGGUAGUGGCUUACCAAGGCUUUGACGGGUAGCCGGCCUGAGAGGGUGACCGGCCACAUUGGGACUGAGAUGCGGCCCAGACUCCUACGGGAGGCAGCAGUGGGGAAUAUUGCACAAUGGGCGGAAGCCUGAUGCAGCAACGCCGCGUGCGGGAUGACGGCCUUCGGGUUGUAAACCGCUUUCGCCUGUGACGAAGCGUGAGUGACGGUAAUGGGUAAAGAAGCACCGGCUAACUACGUG
RNAcentral lists this ribosomal RNA (468 nucleotides) under uncultured bacterium. RNAcentral's name for it is "partial 16S ribosomal RNA". It matches the Rfam family "Bacterial small subunit ribosomal RNA", at positions 28 to 507 of the family's 1533-position model. The record is from RNAcentral.